RNAcentral lists this ribosomal RNA (468 nucleotides) under uncultured bacterium. RNAcentral describes it as "partial 16S ribosomal RNA". It matches the Rfam family "Bacterial small subunit ribosomal RNA", at positions 28 to 507 of the family's 1533-position model. The record is from RNAcentral.
GACGAACGCUGGCGGCGUGCUUAACACAUGCAAGUCGAACGGAAAGGCCCUGCUUUUGUGGGGUGCUCGAGUGGCGAACGGGUGAGUAACACGCGAGUAACCUGCCCUUGACUUUGGGAUAACUUCAGGAAACUGGGGCUAAUACCGGAUAGGAGCUCCUGCUGCAUGGUGGGGGUUGGAAAGUUUCGGCGGUUGGGGAUGGACUCGCGGCUUAUCAGCUUGUUGGUGGGGUAGUGGCUUACCAAGGCUUUGACGGGUAGCCGGCCUGAGAGGGUGACCGGCCACAUUGGGACUGAGAUACGGCCCAGACUCCUACGGGAGGCAGCAGUGGGGAAUAUUGCACAAUGGGCGGAAGCCUGAUGCAGCAACGCCGCGUGCGGGAUGACGGCCUUCGGGUUGUAAACCGCUUUCGCCUGUGACGAAGCGUGAGUGACGGUAAUGGGUAAAGAAGCACCGGCUAACUACGUG